RNAcentral lists this long non-coding RNA (493 nucleotides) under Chloebia gouldiae (Gouldian finch). Its description in RNAcentral is "Erythrura gouldiae (Gouldian finch) lncRNA (ENSEGOG00005008726.1)". The record is from RNAcentral. Lineage: Eukaryota; Metazoa; Chordata; Aves; Passeriformes; Passeridae.
GGGGGAGCACGGGUGCCCCGCGGGCGGACCCACCGCCCGAGGAGGGGAGGCAGCGGGCGGAGCCUGGGCCAAACCUUUCCUUAUCGCAUCUGGCGAGCAGCGGGCCCCCAGCACCGCCCUGGCCGCUGGCCAAGCGCGGAGCCGACAGCCAGGCGGCCGUGGCACGGCCAGGUCUCCCCGUGCCUCAGCAUCCCGUGGGGCUGAGCCCCGAGAAACCAACAGCCCUGGCUCUCAGGAAGGGGAAACCGAGGCAUGGAAGGCCUGAAAAGCUGCUGCAGGUGUUCCUGUGAAGUGGCUCCAUGCAUCCCUCCAUGCUGCAGGCCUUUUCCCAGGAGAGGAAAUUCCUGCUGGGUCUUCCCAGCACUGCCUGAAGAUGGAGCAACCCCGCGAAGUCCACCCCAAAGCCUGCACCCGAGGGCAGCCUCGCAGCAGCCCUGUCCCUAUAAAAGGCUGAAGGGGAAGCAAUGAGUGCUGGGAUGGGGAAAAUUUUGGG